Molecule: long non-coding RNA, 368 nt
Organism: Mytilus californianus (California mussel)
Lineage: Eukaryota; Metazoa; Mollusca; Bivalvia; Mytilida; Mytilidae
Exons: 3
Source: RefSeq, a predicted model, not a curated record
UUUAGAUUUCCAAAAACUCAUUUACUGAAUAAGGAGACUAGGAGUUAAUUAACUGUUAAUUAUUGUAGACAAUGCAAAUCAUUUAUUUCUAGUUUAAACAAAGACAAGAAGUUAGAUAUGUCCUGGAAGGUGAUUAUCACAACUAAAAUAAAAGGUGACUGAUUGGUACAUGAAUCUAGUCAUGCUAGUGUGGAUGAAGUAGUUCAAAAACUAAAAUGGAUGAUUCAACAGUAAAAAGAAAAAGAAUGUCUAGUGGAACAUCAGCUUUAGAAGCUAAAGAAAUGUAAGAAUAACAUAGCAAUCAUUGCACCUUAUUUGAUUUAAAUGUACAUUGUAUAAUAAGAAAAUAAAAAUAAAUAAAAUCACAG